AUACGUAGGUGACAAGCGUUAUCCGGAUUUACUGGGCGUAAAGGGCGUGUAGGCGGUCUUGCAAGUCAGAAGUGAAAUUCCUGAGCUCAACUCGGGCGCUGCUUCUGAAACUGCAGGACUUGAGUGCUGGAGGGGAUAGCGGAAUUCCUAGUGGAGCGGUAAAAUGCGCAGAUAUUAGGAAGAACACCGGUGGCGAAGGCGGCUAUCUGGACAGUAACUGACGCUGAGGCGCGAAAGCGUGGGGAGCAAACAGGAUUAGAUACCCUGGUAGUCCACACCGUAAACGAUGAAUACUAGGUGUAGGGGGUAUCGACUCCCUCUGUGCCGCAGUUAACACAAUAAGUAUUCCGCCUGGGGAGUACGGCCGCAAGGUUGAAACUCAAAUGAAUUGACGGGG
RNAcentral lists this ribosomal RNA (397 nucleotides) under uncultured bacterium. RNAcentral's name for it is "partial 16S ribosomal RNA". It matches the Rfam family "Bacterial small subunit ribosomal RNA", at positions 523 to 918 of the family's 1533-position model. The record is from RNAcentral.